GUGCCAGCCGCCGCGGUAAUACGGAGGGUGCGAGCGUUGUCCGGAAUCACUGGGCGUAAAGGGCGCGUAGGCGGCUUGGGAAGUCCGUGGUGAAAGCUCGUGGCUCAACUGCGAGUCGGCCAUGGAUACUCCUAAGCUCGAGCACUGUAGAGGCAGGUGGAAUUCCGGGUGUAGCGGUGGAAUGCGUAGAGAUCCGGAAGAACACCGGUGGCGAAGGCGGCCUGCUGGGCAGUAGCUGACGCUGAGGCGCGACAGCGUGGGGAGCAAACAGGAUUAGAUACCCGUGUAGUCC
This 292-nucleotide ribosomal RNA is filed under the name uncultured bacterium. RNAcentral describes it as "partial 16S ribosomal RNA". It matches the Rfam family "Bacterial small subunit ribosomal RNA", at positions 505 to 796 of the family's 1533-position model. The record is from RNAcentral.